GGUCCCCAUGAACUCCGCAGCGCCCCCUCUGGCCCCACCUCGCCGCCUGCCCUUCGCCGCCGGACCGGCCCAGUCCCGCCUCCCUCCCCUCCCCGCGGCAGCUUCUGCAGAGAAACGAAACCAAAGCCCGGGCGGGGCGGACCCGAAAGCGACCAGCUGGGAUUUCCCGGGGCCUGGCGCGUCCCGUCGGGCCGAGCGUGUGGCCGCCCGCCUGGCUCCGGCUGGGCCCUCUGACCCCGAUGGGCGACCCCGGGGGUCUCGCCUGGGGCAGCAGGAAGGUCUGGCUCGCCGUGGCCAUUGUGGAACUCGCCAUCGUCCUCAUCCUGGCAGCCGGGCUGGGCCACUUUGUGGCCACGGAGCAGUGGCUGCACAGCGACGUGCUGGGCCUGCGGGAGGAGCUGGCCCGUGCCAACUGGACCCUGCAGGAGAUGCAGGAGAGCUCUGACGUGUGCAGGAACCACACGCAUGUCCUGCAGAAGAAUGUCAUCAACCUGACCCAGGAGGUCACCCGGUUAAAUAGCGACAUUGCCCAGCAAGAGGUGGAAAAAGGCAGGUUACAAGAUGAAAUUAGCACCUGGAAAAACAAGGUCCAGCAUCUCCAGGAGCAAAAGGAUCAGUACCACAGGGAGGUCAGCUGGCUACAGCAGCAGCUCCAAAGACACCAGGAACUUCGCUCCAGUGUGGGCAGUGCCAGGCUCCCCCCCCUCCUGCCUCUGCUGGCAGCCCCCCUCGCUGCACUGCUUGUCUGAACGGAGCCAGGCAGGGAGCAGAGUCAGCACCCAGGACGGAGUCCCCCAGCUGAGAGACCGGGACUCUCCCAGGGAAUAAGCAGCACUGGACCCUGUGGCCGGCACAUGCUCCUCGUGGAGGAAGCCUCAUCUCCUGCCAGAGGACUGUUUACUGAGGGGGGGGGGGCUGUGACGGACGAGGGGGACGCAGUGACAAGUCCAUGGAUGGAGAUGACCCUGCACUACAGUUUAGACACGUCACCCAAAGCCCCAGAUGACAGUUGCACCAAGUUGGGCCUGUGACAUCCUACUUGGGUAGGAAACACCAAUGGACCGCCGACAUUUUUUCAGAGGUGGCCACUGAUUUGGGGUGCCCGGUUUUGGGGUGCCCCUGGCCCCCACAUGAGUCACACCCAGUCUGGGACCCAGCGACAGCAUCACCUGCUCUCACGCUUAGGGAAAGGGGAGGGGGGAUUAAAGUGACUAACAACCCAGCCCUCGGCCGGGAGAACGUUGGCAGAAUAAAUAGGCUUUGCUAUUCA
RNAcentral lists this long non-coding RNA (1270 nucleotides) under Chrysemys picta bellii (western painted turtle). RNAcentral describes it as "lncRNA (ENSCPBG00000012439.1)". The record is from RNAcentral. Lineage: Eukaryota; Metazoa; Chordata; Testudines; Emydidae.